CCUACGGGUGGCUGCAGUGGGGAAUAUUGGACAAUGGGGGGAACCCUGAUCCAGCCAUGUCGCGUGUGUGAAGAAGGCCCUCGGGUUGUAAAGCACUUUCAGUGAGGAAGAACGCCUGGUGGUUAAUACCCAUCAGGAAAGACAUCACUCACAGAAGAAGCACCGGCUAACUCCGUGCCAGCAGCCGCGGUAAUACGGAGGGUGCGAGCGUUAAUCGGAAUUACUGGGCGUAAAGCGCGCGUAGGUGGCUUGAUAAGCCGGUUGUGAAAGCCCCGGGCUCAACCUGGGAACGGCAUCCGGAACUGUCAAGCUAGAGUGCAGGAGAGGAAGGUAGAAUUCCCGGUGUAGCGGUGAAAUGCGUAGAGAUCGGGAGGAAUACCAGUGGCGAAGGCGGCCUUCUGGACUGACACUGACACUGAGGUGCGAAAGCGUGGGUAGCAAACAGGAUUAGAUACCCUGGUAGUC
This 465-nucleotide ribosomal RNA is filed under the name Vreelandella stevensii. Its description in RNAcentral is "partial 16S ribosomal RNA". It matches the Rfam family "Bacterial small subunit ribosomal RNA", at positions 338 to 795 of the family's 1533-position model. The record is from RNAcentral. Lineage: Bacteria; Pseudomonadati; Pseudomonadota; Gammaproteobacteria; Oceanospirillales; Halomonadaceae.